ACGGUUUGGCUUUAGUCGUUCUGGACCUUUCUUUUAGCUUUUCACUUUCCUCUCGCGCAUACAUGGAGUUCCUUCCUUCCGUCUCCGAUUUGUUUUCUCUACCCGUACCGCUUCAUCUUUUUGGUUGUUCAAAUUAAUCAGCCUCUUGUUUUGUUGUUCGCGAAUUGGUUAUCAAAGUUGAUUUCUUGAAAAUCAAUAAGGGGUUAGAAGCUUCUACCCAUUUUUAAUCCGAAUAGAAUUUGUUCUGGGCUGAUCUAAUCCAACCUUUUCAGGUCAGAAAGCUUGCUUAAAUUUCGAUUUUUAUUGAACUCAAGAAUGCUUCUUCAGUUUUUCAGGUUGAUUUGAAGGAACUUUUUUACCCAAAAAAGCUAGGGUUUCCUGGAAACGUUGGUCUUCGAAUAUUGGGGUUUUUGUGUGCAAGCCCUUUGUGAUCAAGGCUUAAUUAUUAGGUUGCUGAAGGAGGAUUUGAAUUCGAUUUUUUUUUUUCACAAUUCAGACCAUUCAUUAGUUAACACAAAGCAAGGUUUUGAUUGUUUUAGAAAACUUCUGUCUCCUCGCUCUAGAAGAGAACUGAGAAGAUUCUGAAAGAUUGUGUGUAAAUUCCAUCUGGGUUCUUCAAAUUCAAGCCCCCCAAAUUUGAGCAGUUUGUGUUACCCGGACUUAUCGAAUCAAGGCAGCUGCAAGGAAAUUUGAGCCUUGGCCUGUAGAGAUACGAUUUUGCAAGGAAGCUAGGUUCCCAUACUGCAGGGGUUUGGAGCCUUGCACUCAUCAAUAUCUGAACAGAAAGAGAAUGAAUUAAAUCCAUGAACAAUAGAUUUAUUUACCUUGGCAACCACCUGGGAGGUAUGGGUUCCCUUCGUAACCUGACCAGCACCGGCAUAUGUAGCCUGAAGACCGAGUAUGGCAGGAGCUAUUUGCCUUGCAUGCAAAAGUGCUCUCGUUUUUAGCUGCAAUAUCACAUGACUUAUUCCCAAUUACCCAAUCAAUAAUUGCCGGAAGCUUGGUUGUUUCGUUUAGUUCUCGAAAACUCGUGCUGGUAAAGUUGAACUCGCCUUCUUGCACAAGGAACGCGUAGCUGCAUCGGUGGGAGUCCUGCACAUCCGUAUAAUUGUCUAAACUUCCCAAGGUCACAGUCUGAUUUUGCAGCCCACCGGGGAUUUUAGUUUGGCAACAUCCAAAGCCAGAGCAAGUAUCCCGCUGAUCGAUAGCUUUGCCAAGAUUGUCACAUAUGGACAUACACCCAGUUGUGUACUUUUCUUCACCCCGGUAACCUAUAAAAAACGCAUAUGUGUCGCAUCCAACUGCAACGAACACGUUUUUGGUUUUGGAGAUGGUGUAAGGAGGAGGCACCCAGAGCUUGGGACGGUUCCGUCGGGUCCUGUUGCCUUGGGCAUCAUAACAAUCACUGGAUGUGAACUGUAGUAUUUGGAGCUCACCGUCAUAAAGAGAAAUGUUGGUAAUUUCGAGAUUGCUCGUCAUCAUAAAUGCUGUUGGCGGUUGAGUGGAAAUGUUAUAAGUGAUGUUAAACCGGUCGUUGAGGUAGCAACCAUCGCCUAUGCCAAAUGGGUAUGGAAUUGUGAGAUUACCACAAUGGUCAGGGCAGCCAGGCAGUGCCUGAGGCGGAAGGAGAGAUUGAGCUGUGGUUGGAGUUGGAAUUCCUAGUAAAAUUGUAACUACCACCACCAUUACUAAAGAGAGAUGCAAAAUAUGCAUCCUCCUAAGUAACGCCAUAUAGUAUUAACUGAAAGGGGUCGAGCAGAUCCUAGCAGUAGCAGAGAAUAAAAUCCAAGCAGGUGAUGGAUCCAAGAAA
Non-coding RNA from Malus domestica (apple), 1810 nucleotides. NCBI's taxonomy places the organism in Eukaryota, Viridiplantae, Streptophyta, Magnoliopsida, Rosales, Rosaceae. The record is from RefSeq and is a predicted model, not a curated record.